This 77-nucleotide transfer RNA is filed under the name Vibrio splendidus. RNAcentral's name for it is "tRNA-Arg". It matches the Rfam family "tRNA". From Rfam's summary of the family: Transfer RNA (tRNA) molecules are approximately 80 nucleotides in length. Their secondary structure includes four short double-helical elements and three loops (D, anti-codon, and T loops). Lineage: Bacteria; Pseudomonadati; Pseudomonadota; Gammaproteobacteria; Vibrionales; Vibrionaceae. The record is from RNAcentral.
GCGCCCUUAGCUCAGCUGGAUAGAGUACCUGGCUACGAACCAGGCGGUCGGAGGUUCGAAUCCUCCAGGGCGUGCCA